Non-coding RNA from Paramuricea clavata, 377 nucleotides. Lineage: Eukaryota; Metazoa; Cnidaria; Anthozoa; Malacalcyonacea; Plexauridae. The record is from the annotation of a GenBank genome assembly.
GGGUAAUAACUGGUGCCACUUACGAUAUAAGGUCACUUGACAUUCUUAAUACCCUGUCUUGGGAAACACUUGACAAUAGAAGAAAUAAGUCCAAGGCUGUGUUUAUGUACAAAGUGCUAAAUGACCACGCUGCCCCGGGUCUAAAAGAAUCUCUUCACAAAAGGAAUGUGACACAAAAUACCUAUAAUCUCAGAAAUAGCGAAAAUGAUUUAACUCUUCCAAAACCUAGAACAGAAUAUCUAAGAAGAAGCUUUAAGUACAGUGGCGCUAUGUUAUGGAAUGACCUUUCGUCUGCAGCUAAAUCGGCGGAUACUCUCGGCUGCUUCGAAAAAGAGAUAGGUGCAAGCUAGAGGAUGAUUCUGUGCUAUAUGUGUGCU